Otolemur garnettii (small-eared galago) is the source of this 296-nucleotide non-coding RNA. NCBI's taxonomy places the organism in Eukaryota, Metazoa, Chordata, Mammalia, Primates, Galagidae. The record is from Rfam.
GCCAGAUGCAGUAGCGCAUGCCUAUAGUCCCAGCUACUGGGGAGGCUGAGGCAGGAGGAUCUCUUGAGUCCAGGAGUUCUGGGCUGGAGUAUGCUGUGCAGAUCAGGUGUCUGCACUAACUUUACCACCAAUAUGGUGACCUCCUGGGAGUGGGAGUCCCCCAGGUUGUCUAAGUAGGGAUGAACCAGCCCAAGUCAGAAAUGGAGCAGGUCAAAACUCCCACGCUGAUCAGUAAUAUAGGAUUGUACCUGUGAGUAGCCACUGCACUCCAGCCUGGGCAACAUAGCAAGACUCUA